AUCGGUAGUGUACAAGAAAAUUAAGGGGCAUAUAAGUGUAAGCAAACCGAAUCAAAAUGGCUUAGGCUAUUUUUGUGAUGGGGAGCCUAGUUUAACGUGUAGCCUACGAGUUUGAUAUUCAUACUCUUGGAUCCAUAAUUCUCAAUAGUUCUAAACUGAACCUUUUAGGACCAUAUGUGUGAUGCCUUUCUAUCUUCAUUCGUCCCCCACAAAUGAUAAGGUGUGAACUGUGAACCAUGAUGAAUUACACAGUCAUGAUCUAUUGCCAUUAUUUUGGUAAUGCUCCCAUGUAAACGAUCUUGAAGUUGGCCUACUAUAGCUAUCCAUUCAAAUUAGUUGGUGUGGUAUCUCUUUUUAUAAAAUUGCUACCUAGUAAAGUUCUUUUGGGCCUACAUAGGGUAAAUAGAGGAUGAAGUUGUCAUGCCAAAGUCAAACAUCGGAAGGAAUGAACUAUGGAAACACAAAACUCAAAAUGAUGGGAAGUAGAUUAUAAUCAUCAUAGUUGUGAAAGGCUCGCUUGAGGCAAGAGGUGCACCAAGCAAGGAAGACAUUGCCUCAAACCUGCAAAGGCGGGUGACCUCACAGAGGCGCACCCAAGCGCCGGCAGGUGCUAGGCGCAUCCCAGUGAGGUCAGCUCCACUCCACCAUUGCAGAAAGUCGAUUGGUAAAAUAAAGAAGAAGAAGAAGAAGA
This 691-nucleotide unclassified non-coding RNA is filed under the name Hevea brasiliensis (rubber tree). The record is from RNAcentral. Lineage: Eukaryota; Viridiplantae; Streptophyta; Magnoliopsida; Malpighiales; Euphorbiaceae.